Molecule: long non-coding RNA, 1361 nt
Organism: Triticum dicoccoides
Lineage: Eukaryota; Viridiplantae; Streptophyta; Magnoliopsida; Poales; Poaceae
Exons: 9
Source: RefSeq, a predicted model, not a curated record
CGAAGCCACCGAGGCAGGAAUCGGAAGUGCCAGUCUGUGCAUCGUGUUCUCACGCCAACCCCAAGUGGAUGAGUUGGAUAUGCCAUUCCUCAAUGUGUACCUGGAUUAUCUUUGGGCACCUAAUUUUUGGAAAGGAGUACUCUGAAGUGAAUUCAUGCUAUGUUAACAGUCUAACAAACAUCUUGGAGGUGUGAAUGCUUUCUUGGGUCUGACAAGUAAUCAAUAAUUGAUGGUAUACUGGGAUUUUUCUCAUACUUCUAGCACUUCCUCAUUGACAAUAAAGCAAGUACUAUCACAACAAAGGCUGUUACCUCCAGUUGUAUACCCCAAGAAAUGGUCUGCUUUCAUGGGGCUUAUUGAAUCCAGGAAAUAAUUGUGAGUAGUAGCGAACCAGACAUGAAAUGUUUCAGAGAACUACGAAAACUCUGGUCAGUUUUGUCGGGAUCUUGUGACACAGUUCCAGGACUCUAUUGACUAAGCCUCUUUCAGUUAGUACAAUGAUCAAGGAUCUCAUUUGAGUAUGGGUUUGCACAUCUAAGUGCUGGUGAUCUUCUUCGUGAAGAAGUUAAAGUGAUAUGGAGCAGAUUAAAAUUGACCAUGAGUUCGUACUAUUAAUUGAAGGCUCAAGGGAAGAGACAGCGGCAUAUUCUUCGUUGAAAUCAGGAAUGAAUUCCACUCGUUAUGCAAUACCACUAUGAGAAAAGUAGGGAAAUGCUGGACCUCUGCAAAAUGUGCUCGUUCACCUCGCGGUCUCACCCCCAAAACAGAGGAGAGGAGCAGGGAGCUCCUCUCUCACACUCGUCGGCUCCAAGGAGCUCCGCUGCCACAUAGGGUUAUCUCCACGCCACUAAUAUCCAUUGUUGCAUCUUGUAAUUAUUAAUUUGGAAUAAAUCAUGCAAUUGGCAUUUAUAUAUGCUUUACUCUGUCUUUUUUGUAGGCAAACCAAGGCUGCAAGUUUGAAUAUUAUACUCAGUCAGAUGCUCGACUACUUACAGUCCUAUUACUUGAGACUUAAUACUCGGUCAGCUGCCGUGUACAUUGUUCUGACAUAAAUGACACCAUGUCUAUGCGCAAGUCAGAAGGAACUUACCAUCUAAUAUGUCUAAUUAGUGUGGUACAUGCUUCAGUACUGCAAGUUGGAGUAGCAAAUGUACAAUACGCCAUCAUCUCUCGGAGUAUGCGGGGAAGUUUAGAAAAGAUGCAGCAAUGGUGUGGUCAGAGAUAAUAAAAAUUGAUGGCUUCGGAUGAUGCUUUGAAAAUUUCGAUUGACAAAGUCGCAGAUGUAACUAUGAGCGAUUGGACUCAAAAGUCAUCCAAUUUUACACAAUGAGAUGCAUACAAAUAAUUAUUCUUUCCUUGUA